This 379-nucleotide ribosomal RNA is filed under the name uncultured bacterium. Its description in RNAcentral is "bacterial SSU rRNA". It matches the Rfam family "Bacterial small subunit ribosomal RNA", at positions 28 to 392 of the family's 1533-position model. The record is from RNAcentral.
GAUGAACGCUGGCGGCGUGCCUAACACAUGCAAGUCGAACGAAACUGAUUCCAUGAAACUUCGGUAGAUUGGAUGAAAGUUGAGUGGCGGACGGGUGAGUAACACGUGGGCAACCUGCCUCACAGAGGGGGAUAGCAGUUGGAAACGACUGAUAAUACCGCAUAAGCACACAGUACCGCAUGGUACAGGGUGAAAAGAUUUAUCACUGUGAGAUGGACCCGCGUCUGAUUAGCCAGUUGGCAGGGUAACGGCCUACCAAAGCGACGAUCAGUAGCCGACCUGAGAGGGUGACCGGCCACAUUGGGACUGAGACACGGCCCAAACUCCUACGGAGGCAGCAGUGGGGGAUAUUGCACAAUGGAGGAAACUCUGAUGCAGC